UACGUAGGGGGCAAGCGUUGUUCGGAAUUACUGGGCGUAAAGGGCGCGUAGGCGGUACGACAAGUCGGGAGUGAAAGCCCGGGGCUCAACCCCGGGACUGCUUUCGAAACUGUCGAACUUGAGUGCAGAAGAGGCAACUGGAAUUCCCAGUGUAGCGGUGAAAUGCGUAGAUAUUGGGAAGAACACCUGAGGCGAAGGCGGGUUGCUGGGCUGACACUGACGCUGAGGCGCGAAAGCUAGGGGAGCAAACGGG
This 253-nucleotide ribosomal RNA is filed under the name uncultured bacterium. RNAcentral's name for it is "partial 16S ribosomal RNA". It matches the Rfam family "Bacterial small subunit ribosomal RNA", at positions 524 to 776 of the family's 1533-position model. The record is from RNAcentral.